This 329-nucleotide unclassified non-coding RNA is filed under the name soil metagenome. RNAcentral describes it as "partial contains 5.8S ribosomal RNA, internal transcribed spacer 2, and large subunit ribosomal RNA". The stretch from base 1 to 120 matches the Rfam family "5.8S ribosomal RNA", at positions 35 to 154 of the family's 154-position model. The record is from RNAcentral.
GAUGAAGAACGUAGCGAAAUGCGAUAAGUAGUGUGAAUUGCAGAAUUCAGUGAAUCAUCGAAUCUUUGAACGCACAUUGCGCCCCUUGGUAUCCCGAGGGGCAUGCCUGUUCGAGCGUCAUUUCACCACUCAAGCCUGGCUUGGUGUUGGGCGACGUCCCCUUUGGGGACGCGCCUUGAAACGCUCGGCGGCGUGGCACCGGCUUUAAGCGUAGCAGAAUCUUUCGCUUUGGAAGUCGGGGCCCCGUCUGCCGGAAGACCUACUCGCAAGGUUGACCUCGAAUCAGGCAGGGAUACCCGCUGAACUUAAGCAUAUCAAUAAGCGGAGGA